RNAcentral lists this ribosomal RNA (1372 nucleotides) under uncultured bacterium. RNAcentral describes it as "bacterial SSU rRNA". It matches the Rfam family "Bacterial small subunit ribosomal RNA", at positions 28 to 1381 of the family's 1533-position model. The record is from RNAcentral.
GAUGAACGCUGGCGGCGUGCCUAAUACAUGCAAGUCGAGCGAACGGACGAGAAGCUUGCUUCUCUGAUGUUAGCGGCGGACGGGUGAGUAACACGUGGAUAACCUACCUAUAAGACUGGGAUAACUUCGGGAAACCGGAGCUAAUACCGGAUAACAUUUUGAACCGCAUGGUUCAAAAGUGAAAGACGGUCUUGCUGUCACUUAUAGAUGGAUCCGCGCUGCAUUAGCUAGUUGGUAAGGUAACGGCUUACCAAGGCAACGAUGCAUAGCCGACCUGAGAGGGUGAUCGGCCACACUGGAACUGAGACACGGUCCAGACUCCUACGGGAGGCAGCAGUAGGGAAUCUUCCGCAAUGGGCGAAAGCCUGACGGAGCAACGCCGCGUGAGUGAUGAAGGCCUUCGGAUCGUAAAACUCUGUUAUUAGGGAAGAACAUAUGUGUAAGUAACUGUGCACAUCUUGACGGUACCUAAUCAGAAAGCCACGGCUAACUACGUGCCAGCAGCCGCGGUAAUACGUAGGUGGCAAGCGUUAUCCGGAAUUAUUGGGCGUAAAGCGCGCGUAGGCGGUUUUUUAAGUCUGAUGUGAAAGCCCACGGCUCAACCGUGGAGGGUCAUUGGAAACUGGAAAACUUGAGUGCAGAAGAGGAAAGUGGAAUUCCAUGUGUAGCGGUGAAAUGCGCAGAGAUAUGGAGGAACACCAGUGGCGAAGGCGACUUUCUGGUCUGUAACUGACGCUGAUGUGCGAAAGCGUGGGGAUCAAACAGGAUUAGAUACCCUGGUAGUCCACGCCGUAAACGAUGAGUGCUAAGUGUUAGGGGGUUUCCGCCCCUUAGUGCUGCAGCUAACGCAUUAAGCACUCCGCCUGGGGAGUACGACCGCAAGGUUGAAACUCAAAGGAAUUGACGGGGACCCGCACAAGCGGUGGAGCAUGUGGUUUAAUUCGAAGCAACGCGAAGAACCUUACCAAAUCUUGACAUCCUUUGACAACUCUAGAGAUAGAGCCUUCCCCUUCGGGGGACAAAGUGACAGGUGGUGCAUGGUUGUCGUCAGCUCGUGUCGUGAGAUGUUGGGUUAAGUCCCGCAACGAGCGCAACCCUUAAGCUUAGUUGCCAUCAUUAAGUUGGGCACUCUAAGUUGACUGCCGGUGACAAACCGGAGGAAGGUGGGGAUGACGUCAAAUCAUCAUGCCCCUUAUGAUUUGGGCUACACACGUGCUACAAUGGACAAUACAAAGGGCAGCGAAACCGCGAGGUCAAGCAAAUCCCAUAAAGUUGUUCUCAGUUCGGAUUGUAGUCUGCAACUCGACUACAUGAAGCUGGAAUCGCUAGUAAUCGUAGAUCAGCAUGCUACGGUGAAUACGUUCCCGGGUCU